Molecule: ribosomal RNA, 764 nt
Filed under: uncultured Pseudomonas sp.
Lineage: Bacteria; Pseudomonadati; Pseudomonadota; Gammaproteobacteria; Pseudomonadales; Pseudomonadaceae
Description: bacterial SSU rRNA
Rfam family: Bacterial small subunit ribosomal RNA
Source: RNAcentral
GCCCUGGUAAUGUGGGGGAAUAACGGUUCGGAAACCGGACGGCUUAUAACCGCAUACGUUCUUACGGGAGGAAAGCAGGGGACCCUUUCGGGCCCUGCGGCUAUUCAGAAUGGAGCCUAAGUCGGGAUUUAGCUUAGUUGGUGGAAGGUAAUUGCCUCCACCCAAGGCGGACGAUCCCGUAACUGGUCCUGAGAGGAUGAUCAGUCCCACCUGAACUGAGACACCGGUCCAGACUCUUACGGGAGGCAGCAGUGGGGAAUAUUGGACAAUGGGGCGAAAGCCUGAUCCAGCCCAUGCCGCGUGUGUGAAGAAGGUCUUCGGAUUGUAAAGCCCUUUAAGUUGGGAGGAAGGGCAUUAACCUAAUACGUUAGUGUUUUGACGUUACCGACAGAAUAAGCACCGGCUAACUCUGUGCCAGCAGCCGCGGUAAUACAGAGGGUGCAAGCGUUAAUCGGAAUUACUGGGCGUAAAGCGCGCGUAGGUGGUUUGUUAAGUUGGAUGUGAAAUCCCCGGGCUCAACCUGGGAACUGCAUUCAAAACUGACUGACUAGAGUGUGGUAGAGGGUGGUGGAAUUUCCUGUGUAGCGGUGAAAUGCGUAGAUAUAGGAAGGAACACCAGUGGCGAAGGCGACCACCUGGACCAACACUGACACUGAGGUGCGAAAGCGUGGGGAGCAAACCGGAUUAGAUACCCUGGUAGUCCACGCCGUAAACGAUGUCAACUAGCCGUUGGAAGCCUUGAGCUUUUAGUGGCGCAGCUAACG